Small nucleolar RNA from Cavia aperea (Brazilian guinea pig), 129 nucleotides. The record is from Ensembl. NCBI's taxonomy places the organism in Eukaryota, Metazoa, Chordata, Mammalia, Rodentia, Caviidae.
AUGGCCCUGAAUCAAGGCCAGCAGCUUCCUGGCACUGUUGGUUUCAAGCAGGAGUCUAAAGAGAUGUCUUUCUGAGGUCUGGUCAGAACUUGGGCAGUGAAAUGGUCAAUUCUUUAGAAAUAAAGAGCU